This 524-nucleotide ribosomal RNA is filed under the name uncultured bacterium. RNAcentral describes it as "partial 16S ribosomal RNA". It matches the Rfam family "Bacterial small subunit ribosomal RNA", at positions 28 to 523 of the family's 1533-position model. The record is from RNAcentral.
GACGAACGCUGGCGGCGUGCCUAAUACAUGCAAGUCGAACGAAGCUGUUUUAACUGGUGCUUGCACCGACUUAAACAACUGAGUGGCGAACGGGUGAGUAACACGUGGGUAACCUGCCCCAAAGCGGGGGAUAACAUUUGGAAACAGAUGCUAAUGCCGCAUAAUCACAGAAACCACAUGGUUUCUGUGUCAAAGAUGGUUUCGGCUAUCACUUUGGGAUGGCCCCGCGGCGUAUUAGCUAGUUGGUAAGGGAAUGGCUUACCAAGGCAAUGAUACGUAGCCUAACUGAGAGGUUGAGCUGGCACAUUGGGACUGAGACACGGCCCAAACUCCUACGGGAGGCAGCAGUAGGGAAUCUUCCACAAUGGACGAAAGGCUGAUGGAGCAACGCCGCGUGAGUGAAGAAGGUUUUCGGAUCGUAAAACUCUGUUGCCAGAGAAGAACGUGUGCGAGAGUAACUGUUCGUGCAGUGACGGUAUCUGGCCAGAAAGCCACGGCUAACUACGUGCCAGCCGCCGCGGUAA